GAACGAACGCUGGCGGCAUGCCUACCACAUGCAAGUCGAACGAAGUCUUCGGACUUAGUGGCGCACGGGUGCGUAACGCGUGGGAAUCUGCCCUUGGGUACGGAAUAACUCAGAGAAAUUUGUGCUAAUACCGUAUAAUGUCUUCGGACCAAAGAUUUAUCGCCCAAGGAUGAGCCCGCGUAAGAUUAGCUAGUUGGUGGGGUAAAAGCCUACCAAGGCGACGAUCUUUAGCUGGUCUGAGAGGAUGAUCAGCCACACUGGGACUGAGACACGGCCCAGACUCCUACGGGAGGCAGCAGUGGGGAAUAUUGGACAAUGGGCGAAAGCCUGAUCCAGCAAUGCCGCGUGAGUGAUGAAGGCCCUAGGGUUGUAAAGCUCUUUUACCAGGGAUGAUAAUGACAGUACCUGGAGAAUAAGCUCCGGCUAACUCCGUG
Molecule: ribosomal RNA, 434 nt
Filed under: uncultured bacterium
Lineage: Bacteria
Description: partial 16S ribosomal RNA
Rfam family: Bacterial small subunit ribosomal RNA
Source: RNAcentral